Molecule: unclassified non-coding RNA, 1469 nt
Filed under: Hevea brasiliensis (rubber tree)
Lineage: Eukaryota; Viridiplantae; Streptophyta; Magnoliopsida; Malpighiales; Euphorbiaceae
Source: RNAcentral
CUCACUUCCAUUUCCUCUUGCAGGUUCUGCUUUCCUUUACAAUGGCCGAUAGAGUCCACCCCCGUGACUCGCCUCCAUCAUCUACAGAGUAUAAGCCGACGCCACCAUCCUCUUCGGAGCACCACCCACAGUCUCCCAUGAAACCUCCAGCUCCUUUGCCUGAGAAACCUAUUCCCCCACCUGGAACCUAUGUCAUCAAGAUCCCAAAGGACCAGGUCUAUCGUGUCCCUCCUCCAGAAAAUGCCAAGCGCUACGAGAAACUCUCUCGCAAGAAGCCUAGUCGCAGCGCCUGCCGCUGCUGUUUUUGCUGGUUCCUUGGCCUCAUUCUUACCCUUAUUAUCCUCGCCGGCAUCGCCGCUGGUGUCUUGUACCUUGUAUUCCGGCCCAAAGCUCCUAAGUACUCGAUUGAUUCUUUAUCCAUUAAAGGUUUCAAUCUGUCUUCAUCAGCACCUCUCGCGCCGGAAUUUGACGUCACUGUUAGAGCCGACAACCCUAACAAAAAGAUCGGGAUUGAUUACAGGUCAGGAAGCUCAGUUAAUAUAUAUUACAAUGACGUUAGGCUCUGUAAUGGUAAGCUGCCGGUAUUUUACCAGCCGAGCAAUAACGUGACUGUGUUUUUGACAUCGUUGAAGGGGUCGGGGAUUGAGUUAACGAGUGCAGUACAUAAGGCGUUGAUUGACGGAGAAAAUAAGGGAACGGUGCCGUUUAGUUUGAAAUUGAGGGCGCCGGUAAAGAUCAAGGUGGGGUCAGUUAAGACGUGGACGAUUACCGUUAAAGUUAACUGUGAUUUAACGGUGGAUAAGUUGACGGCGAACGCAAAAAUUGUGUCCAAGGAUUGUGAUUAUGGGGUUGACCUGUGGUAGGAAGGAGGAGGAAUAUCUUUUUCACUUUUUUUUUUCUUUUUUUUUGAAAUCAGCCCUUGCAAAAUAACUGUCCAUUUUGCACAAGAUAUAUCAAACACUGGCUUCUCGUGAUGAAUGGCAUGAUGCUAAUACCAAACAAUGACAACAGUAAGGAUCAACAAGAAACAAUAAACAUAUGAGUUAAACAACCAAACAAAAUUUUGGAAUAAGCGCGAGAUAAGAGAAAUCCCACCUCCCCAUUGCAUCAUAGGUUGCAGCAAGAUUGCUAUACACUCCAAGAGUAUCCAAGUGACACGAGCCAUACUCCUGCUCUAAAAUCUCCCUUGCUUCUUCAAACAAUUCAGCUGCCUUAUCUAUCUUGUACUGUUGCACACUGGCCAACCCCAGCUGGUUCAACACAAUUCCAAAGAAGGCUGAUUUACUAUCCCCACUGGCCCGAAGCUUUGCUACACUACUCUCAAAAGAGCUUUGAGCUUCUCCAUACCUCCCAACCAUGUAAAACAUCACUCCCAUCUGUGCUUCUAUUCCUGCAAUUGUGCUAUGCUGUCCAGGCCGGUCUUCCAGCAACUUCAUUGCCUCGUUCAAGAGCUUCAAUGCCUCCUCAGG